Tripterygium wilfordii is the source of this 2901-nucleotide long non-coding RNA. RefSeq lists it as uncharacterized. The transcript is spliced from 7 exons. Lineage: Eukaryota; Viridiplantae; Streptophyta; Magnoliopsida; Celastrales; Celastraceae. The record is from RefSeq and is a predicted model, not a curated record.
AUGGUUCAGCAAGUAAUCGAGUUCGGAACUCGAAAUCCAACUUAGGAGUUCUGCCUUCGGCGCCAAAUGGUACUCCCGAGACUGUUUCUACUCACAAUGUUUAGGAGGGGCGGAUCCAAAUUCGACUAGGAGAGAUGAAGAUGAGGAACGGAUUCGCCAAAGGAAGCUCGAAGAAGCGCUGGAAGUCAAGCCUCUCAACCGCAUCAUCGCUGCCUACCUCAACUAUCCAUAUGCUGCAGAAGAGGAUGUCAAAAGAUAUGAAAGAUCUUUUUAAAAGCUUCCACCCGCCCAAGAUAUGUAUGGCGAAGACGAUAGAUGUCCAUUGAACUGAGUUUGGAAGAUGUGAAGAGGGUUGAUUUGUAUUAUGGAUUCCAAUUUGAGAAGGAAUAAACCAUUGAAACAACCUACACUACAAAUCCUUGAUCCAAUAUGCCGGUAAGCUUCAAUGUGUAAUACUACUAGGCUUCAAGUAAGGCAAGAUGAACCGGAUCUUGCUGUGGAGCUUGGUUGUGGCUUGUGUUAGUGUGCUGCUGUUGAGCCAUAACUGCACCACUGCUGACUACAUAAGACAAAAUGCUUGAACAAAUAAAUAAUUCAGUAACUUGGACUUCUAUUCAGUUGAUUAUAUGAAGAAUUAUGACACCUUGAAAAUAUUGAUAAGCAAAAGAAUUGAGCUCACGCACCCUGAUAUCUUAAAAGGCUAAUACAACUCAGCAGGUCUAGAUUUCAAACUAUUUCUGUCAGCUUCACGACUAUUGCUGAGAUUUUAUCUUGACAAAAUUGGACAUUUAUCUGAUUUUAUUGUUAAGAAACGUAAAUUAAAUGUUGCUUGCAAAGCCCUAGUGUUUUCUUAGUGUUAAUAGUUUCUUUAAGAUUUACUGCUUUAUGUAUUUUUUUUUUUAAUUUCAUUACAUCUUUUACAUGUGAAGCCCCUGUAGUAACUUGGUAAUAGUCUUUUAAGAUUCGCCGCUAUAGACAUUAUCAAAAUUGGUGCCCUCUUGCAGGGUCGAUAUUUUGUCGCAUUUUGGAAACUGAGGAAAAUAUCAUCAAAGAUGGAUGCUGCUGACUAAAUGCAUCUCAUUGGUUUCUUACAAUCUUUCUUUCUUCAGUUUAUUGUUGUGCAAGUUACUUUCCCAUUGUUUAAGUUGUGUAACACCUCUCAUCGUGGCGGCGUCCUGAAGUCUUAUUGGGCUUAUUUAACUGCUGUGAACAAUUUCAUGCAUUUGAUUUUUUUUCUCUUUAUUGUGUGUUUUUUUUUUCCUGCUGAGGUUUUGUGGAUUAUAUUUAGAUUUGAUGUUUAGUUUUGCUCAAAAUACUAGCGUAUUUAUUUGCAAGUCAUUGUAACUCCAUUUAGAAACUUGGAGUUGUUGAAAUUACCUUAAAUCUGCACUCAUGAGAGAGUAUAGGAAACUAUCAAUGAGCUAACGUACAGAAUACUUUAUUGUGCUUCUUUCCAGAAGUGUGACGGUUGGGACUGACAAAAUGAAAUGUUUUUGGGUAAGGAAGGGGUCACACCAAACUUUAUAAUAAUAGUAUAUAUCUCGUUCUCUCUAUCGAUGGGAGGCAAUAUUUUUCCCAGUUAUGGUAAGUAACCAUCAAUGUUUGCUAUAGGGAGAGGUUGUUUGAGUUCUCUUAUUUCUCUUUUGCAAGAACCUCUGCAGAGAUCUCUUCAUGGAAACACCUGGAAGACUGUACAGUUGAGAUAGUGAUGGUGCUUUAGGCCCUCUGCUGCUGGUCUUCUUAAUCCUCUCUUCCAUUUCUCGACCUGCAAGCCAAAUUAUGGCUCUGGCCUACAGAUACAGACACAUUCAGAGGAAUCACCUGAAGCUCGGUUAUGUCGCAAAUAUUCAUCUGCCCAUUGUGAAAAAAGGCUAUAGGUUGCUUCUGGGUUGCUGCUUUCGAUGCCUCAGAUUGUCAUGCACCAAAUUUUUAUCAAGGGAGACUUCAUGAUUAAUUGAAGCAACGCAUAAGAUUCAUGGGACAAACUGCAAAAAAAUAGAGGGAAAAAGAUGUACAUAUUGCAAAUCAUGCACGCACAUAACAUACGCUAUUAGUCACAGUUUAUUGUCUCUUAGUGUAGUUUUAUUGUAUUCUCGUGUUUGGAUUUUUUGUUCUAUCAUUCCUUCGAUUGUGUUUCCAUUUGCAGAAAUGGAUGUAACCAAAAAGGACAAACUACAAGAGAUAUGAUCAUAAGCCAAUAUCAAGUUCCAUUGAUCUAUUUGUACUUUUCAUCAACGCAUGCUUUCACUAACCCAUCUCACCAAUGGUAGUCAAAAAUUAACUCAAAAAGUUACCAUCACCCCUAGCCAAACCUAUAUAGAACCAAUAUGUAAAGAAGGAAAGAGAUAGUUUGAAUUAGGUAUGAGAGAGAGUUUGUUUUGUGAUGAGUAACACCCAGAAUUCCAAAAGCAGGAGGCCUUUUGGCAUUGAUGGCACCCUUAAUCCACGAAAUUAUGAUAGUUGAAGGCAUUAAAUAUAAAAUAAUCACAAGGAAUGCUCACAAUAUGUCAAUUUCUGGAUUUCCAAAUAAUAAUACAAAGUUGCAUGCAGAACAUCUCACGUAUUAGACAAUGUAAGUUGAAAGAUUUCAAGUGAUAUAAUGAUCUGAGUUGUACAUAUAAAGUAGAAUAACACUACUUCAAGUUUUAUUGAUAUUUACCUCACAAGCAGCAGAUGGAGCAUAAAACUCCUCAAAUUCAGUAAUGCUUCAAGUUGUCCAGCUACUCAUGUAGAUCCUUUAAUGGGGAGCUCAUCCACAUCCUGCUCAGUAGGAGUGGAUUUAAUGAGCUGCGGGCUCUCUUAGUAAUGCUCCCCAUUAUCUGAUGACACCAUACUUUUCCUAAUAUAUGCCAAACAACAAUUUCAACAGUUAGCAAAAGCCAGUUAACAUAACUUAUAAAA